RNAcentral lists this long non-coding RNA (381 nucleotides) under Papio anubis (olive baboon). Its description in RNAcentral is "lncRNA (ENSPANG00000039591.1)". The record is from RNAcentral. Lineage: Eukaryota; Metazoa; Chordata; Mammalia; Primates; Cercopithecidae.
UUUUUAAUCACUGAAUGGUUUCUUUAGUAGAUACAUUUAUAAAUAAAUAAGUGAACAAACAACAAAAGGCACAUGUGAAAGAUGGAUUAGCAUACAUGAAUAUACAGCUUCCAUAAGAAAUGGAAAUGACAAUCAUGUGAGAGGAACAAGUGGAGAAAGCCUUUUUUCUUUGACUGGCAGAUGGGAUUCUUAAAAUGGUCCUGAUAAUGUACAUGUAAGAUAAAAUCACUAAUGCCAAAGUGAACAGCAAAGUAACCAAAGCAAAGUAAAAACCAAUUACUUCUAGGAGCCAUGUGUCUGAACAAGAUAGUUGUAAGAGGGGAAAAUAGUCACAUGCAAAGUGAUCAAUGACGUUGGAAGCACAGUAAUCCAGCUGGAGGA